This 433-nucleotide ribosomal RNA is filed under the name uncultured bacterium. RNAcentral describes it as "partial 16S ribosomal RNA". It matches the Rfam family "Bacterial small subunit ribosomal RNA", at positions 29 to 507 of the family's 1533-position model. The record is from RNAcentral.
AACGAACGCUGGCGGCAUGCCUAACACAUGCAAGUCGAACGAGACCUUCGGGUCUAGUGGCGCACGGGUUCGUAACGCGUGGGAACCUGCCCUUAGGUUCGGAAUAACUCCCCGAAAGGGGUGCUAAUACCGGAUAAUGUCUUCGGACCAAAGAUUUAUCGCCUUUGGAUGGGCCCGCGUUGGAUUAGCUAGUUGGUAGGGUAAAAGCCUACCAAGGCGACGAUCCAUAGCUGGUCUGAGAGGAUGAUCAGCCACACUGGGACUGAGACACGGCCCAGACUCCUACGGGAAGCAGCAGUGGGGAAUAUUGGACAAUGGGCGAAAGCCUGAUCCAGCAAUGCCGCGUGAGUGAUGAAGGCAUUAGGGUUGUAAAGCUCUUUUAACCGGGAUGAUAAUGACAGUACCGGGAGAAUAAGCUCCGGCUAACUCCGUG